This 690-nucleotide long non-coding RNA is filed under the name Homo sapiens (human). Its description in RNAcentral is "non-protein coding lnc-MYOC-4:1". The record is from RNAcentral. Lineage: Eukaryota; Metazoa; Chordata; Mammalia; Primates; Hominidae.
AUGAAUAUUUGGAAAUUGUCUACAUGUCUACUAAUAGAGGAAUGGUUAAAUAAAUAGAAAACAGAUUGAUGCAUGCAUUUGCGGAAAAUCACAUUUAAAUCACACUUUCAAAGAAUGUUUAAUGACAUGAGAAAAUAUUGUUAUACUGUUACAUUACUUGAUGAGAUUACAGGGAUUUAAACAGUCUUUAUUACUUUAUUAUAAUUUGUAGGAUAUGUCCCAAGUUUUCUGAAAUAAACAUGAUUUAUUUUUACAAUUUUUUUUUUUUUUUUGGAGACAGAAUCUCACUCUGUUGCCCAGGCUGGAGAGCAGUGGUGCAAUCUUGGCUCCCACUGCAACCUCUGCCUACUGGGUUCAGGCGAUUCUCCUGCCUAAGCCUCUUGAGUAGCUGGGAUUACAGGCAAGCGCCACCAUGGUUUCUAUGGAUUCCAGAUCUGUGGAUUCAACCAACCAUGAGACAAAAAUAUUUUUUUAAAAAAGAAAAAAGAGGAAAAAAAUGGUUGUGUCUGUACUGAGCAUGUAUAGACUUUUUUCUUGCUGCUAUUUCCCAGACAAUGUAGUGUAACAACUAUUUACAUACUAUUUACAUUGCACUGGGUACUAUAAGUAACCACGAGAUGAUUUAAAGUAUAUAGGAGGAUAUGCAAAUACUAUACCAUUUUAUUUUAUUUUAUUUUAUUUUGAGACAGA